GGACCAUCUGCUUCCCUCGUUAACCACUAUGAGACCGGUGGCGGUGACCCAAAGAUAGAGAUAGGGUACGGUUUUUACCGGAAGUUGAAGAGUUAGAUCGUCUGAAAACGGGGCAUCUUUCCGUUCUUUCCAACGUCGUCGUUUCGUUUUCUCCGCCCGGUGGAAACCCUAGCUAGAAUUUUGCAGCAGGUUUGGCAUGAUUUUGCUGUUUUUGUACUGUUGUUAAAGGGUUACACAGUUACACACAUUACACAAUCACAAC
RNAcentral lists this long non-coding RNA (262 nucleotides) under Helianthus annuus (common sunflower). Its description in RNAcentral is "sRNA HanXRQr2_Chr17g0785761". The record is from RNAcentral. Lineage: Eukaryota; Viridiplantae; Streptophyta; Magnoliopsida; Asterales; Asteraceae.